GACGAACGCUGGCGGCGUGCUUAACACAUGCAAGUCGAACGGGAAGGCCCUGCUUUUGUGGGGUGCUCGAGUGGCGAACGGGUGAGUAACACGUGAGUAACCUGCCCUUGACUUUGGGGUAACUUCAGGAAACUGGGGCUAAUACCGGAUAGGAGCUCCUGCUGCAUGGUGGGGGUUGGAAAGUUUCGGCGGUUGGGGAUGGACUCGCGGCUUAUCAGCUUGUUGGUGGGGUAGUGGCUUACCAAGGCUUUGACGGGUAGCCGGCCUGAGAGGGUGACCGGCCACAUUGGGACUGAGAUACGGCCCAGACUCCUACGGGAGGCAGCAGUGGGGAAUAUUGCACAAUGGGCGGAAGCCUGAUGCAGCAACGCCGCGUGCGGGAUGACGGCCUUCGGGUUGUAAACCGCUUUCGCCUGUGACGAAGCGUGAGUGACGGUAAUGGGUAAAGAAGCACCGGCUAACUACGUG
Molecule: ribosomal RNA, 468 nt
Filed under: uncultured bacterium
Lineage: Bacteria
Description: partial 16S ribosomal RNA
Rfam family: Bacterial small subunit ribosomal RNA
Source: RNAcentral